This is a long non-coding RNA of Lethenteron reissneri (Far Eastern brook lamprey), 1572 nucleotides long. RefSeq lists it as uncharacterized. The record is from RefSeq and is a predicted model, not a curated record. NCBI's taxonomy places the organism in Eukaryota, Metazoa, Chordata, Hyperoartia, Petromyzontiformes, Petromyzontidae.
CAAUAACAAACGACUGGAAUUGUGUUAACAACUACGAUACAAAAAUGACAAGCGAUGUGAAAAAAUAAAAAAUGACAAUCACAGUGGUACAACUAUCACCGUCGUGGUUGCAAUAUCGGCCUCUUGCCUCCCCUUCCCGCGUGGCUCCGCCAACUCCAGUCAACGAGGGGCGCAAUUUGAGCUGCAGAGAGAGCCCACCACCGUCUCACACAACUGGAUGCUGUACCCCUUCCUCUACAGUAAAGCAGCCAGUUGUGAAGGCCGGCGGGGAGCGAGGUGCUGGGCCAGAGAGGGCCUCUUCCUCCCCCCACAAGCGUCUCCAUCGGCACCCCCGGAUCCACCUUCACGGUGGUGCCCGAGUAUGGAGGCGCAACUCCCGUCGAAGUGUAACGAUCCGUCCGUCUCACCGUACACCCCAACUAUGCCUCACGAAGCCGGCAACGCAAAGCGGACAACAACAACCAAGUAGGCAAGAGGCAGACGGGUCGCCAGGUAAGACAGAUCGCGACUCCAACAACAGGAAGUGCUGCCCACUGGCUUAUCGCGACACUGCCAGCCUCCGCACGUCGUGGCCACUGCUGCCCCUGCAGCCCCCAGCUCCCUCCCUCCCUCCAUGCCUUGCUCUCGCGUCCCCUGCAGAACCAGCUCUCGCUCAUCCAUGUAGCGCACGCAGAGAGUGGGGAACAUGACUUAAUUCACAGUUCCUGCAACCGCAGUCUAAUCCCUGCUUCACCAUUGAAUCCCUGUUACACACGCAUAGCCUAAGCGCUGCUUCACAGUUAAAACCCUGUUCACACCCGGUCUCAUCUCCACUGCACACACAGUCGAAUCCCUGCUGCACGCACAGUUUAAUCCUUUAUACAAGGCAUCAUGUUUGCAAUAACCACAACACAAGCAGUCAAAAUGCAAACAAAAAGAAACAACUGUGAUGAUGAUAAUGAUAUGCACUGUCCUUGAAAUUGAUUGGUCCACACCCGAGACAGCUUUUCUUAGAGCCUAGUCUCCAUUGGUGUUGGACCAGAUGACGCCAAAAGGCGUACAACUCAAAGACAAUGCACUAUCAGAGUAUUGAGAGCUCGGGGUAAGCAUUUACACUAAGACAUCUCCUUUACCAGUGUGUCAGUUAUUGUACCAAUUGAAAGGGUAAAAACCUAUUACUAUAUUUUGCCACUGGUAAAGGAGACGUCUCAUAGAGUUUAAUCCUUGUUUCACGAAGUAUAAUCAUUGCUGCACUCACAGGCAAAUAGCUACUUCACAGUUUAAACCCUGCUGCACGCCCAGUCGAAUCCCUACUCCACACCCAGUCGUAUCUCUGCUGCACCCACGGUCUAAUUCCUGCUGCACACACAUUCUAAUCCUCACUGCACACCCAGUCGAAUCCUUAUCUCUACUGCACUCCAGUCUUAUCUCUGCUGCACACACAGUCUAAUCCCCGAUAAACUCACAGUCGAAUCUGCACUGCACAUGGUCAACAUCAACACUGCUGCCUAAUAAUUAGGUACCAAUGUGCCUGGCCUAUGGGAACUAUGAAAAAGCAUUUGACUCAGUAAAAUGUAUGCAGUUAUCAAAACU